UCCUGGUUCUGCUUCCGGCGCGGGAGGUAGGGCCACGUCAUCUUCGGGCUCCCAGUGCCAGCCGGGCAGUGGAUGGUGGGAAGCAAGAUGGCGGCCACGGCCAGCAUUCGGGAGAGGCAAACAGUGGCUCUGAAGCGGAUGUUGAAUUUCAAUGUGCCUCAUGUUAAAAACAGUACUGGAGAACCAGUAUGGAAGGUACUCAUUUAUGACAGAUUUGGCCAAGAUAUCAUCUCUCCUCUGCUGUCUGUGAAGGAACUGAGAGACAUGGGCAUCACUCUGCAUCUCCUUUUGCACUCAGACCGAGAUCCGAUUCCAGAUGUUCCUGCAGUGUACUUUGUGAUGCCAACCGAAGAAAAUAUUGACAGACUGUGCCAGGAUCUUCGAAAUCAGCUCUAUGAAUCCUAUUAUUUAAAUUUUAUUUCUGCGAUUUCAAGAAGUAAACUGGAAGACAUUGCGAAUGCAGCAUUGGCCGCUAGUGCAGUCACACAAGUUGCCAAGGUUUUUGACCAGUAUCUCAAUUUUAUUACUUUGGAAGAUGACAUGUUUGUAUUAUGUAAUCAAAAUAAGGAACUUGUUUCAUAUCGUGCCAUUAACAGGCCAGACAUCACAGACACAGAGAUGGAAACUGUUAUGGACACUAUUGUGGACAGCCUCUUCUGCUUUUUUGUUACAUUAGGUGCUGUUCCCAUCAUCCGAUGCUCAAGAGGAACGGCGGCAGAAAUGGUGGCAGUGAAACUAGAUAAAAAACUUCGGGAAAAUCUAAGAGAUGCAAGAAACAGCCUUUUCACCGGUGAUCCACUUGGAACUGGCCAGUUCAGCUUCCAAAGGCCUUUAUUAGUCCUUGUUGACAGAAACAUUGACCUGGCAACGCCUUUACACCAUACGUGGACAUACCAAGCGCUGGUACACGAUGUGCUGGAUUUCCACUUAAACAGAGUAAAUUUGGAAGAAUCUACAGGAGUGGAAAACUCUCCAGCUGGUGCUAGACCAAAGAGGAAAAACAAGAAGUCUUACGACUUAACUCCAGUUGAUAAAUUCUGGCAGAAGCAUAAAGGAAGUCCAUUCCCAGAAGUCGCAGAAUCAGUCCAACAAGAACUAGAAUCUUACAGAGCACAAGAAGAUGAGGUCAAACGACUGAAGAGCAUUAUGGGACUAGAAGGAGAGGAUGAAGGGGCCAUCAGCAUGCUUUCUGAUAACACUGCUAAGCUCACAUCAGCUGUCAGUUCUUUGCCAGAACUCCUUGAAAAAAAAAGACUUAUUGAUCUGCACACAAAUGUUGCCACUGCUGUUUUAGAACACAUAAAGGCAAGAAAACUGGAUGUAUAUUUUGAAUAUGAAGAAAAAAUAAUGAGCAAGACUACUCUGGAUAAGUCCCUCCUAGACGUCAUAUCCGACCCUGAUGCAGGGACUCCGGAAGACAAAAUGAGGCUGUUUCUUAUCUAUUACAUAAGCGCACAGCAAGCACCGUCCGAGGUUGAUUUGGAGCAGUAUAAAAAGGCUUUAACAGAUGCAGGCUGCAACCUUAGCCCUUUACAGUAUAUCAAGCAGUGGAAGGCUUUUGCCAAGAUGGCCUCAACUCCUGCCAGCUACGGAAACACUACCACUAAACCAAUGGGUCUCCUGUCCCGAGUCAUGAAUACAGGAUCACAGUUUGUGAUGGAAGGUGUGAAGAACCUGGUAUUGAAGCAGCAGAAUCUACCUGUUACUCGGAUUUUAGACAAUCUCAUGGAGAUGAAGUCAAACCCUGAAACUGAUGAUUAUAGAUAUUUUGAUCCCAAAAUGCUGCGGAGUAAUGACAGCUCCUUCCUCUACAAAACUGAAGAACCCCCUGCUUCCCAGGAAGGUGGACCUGGAAUACCUUCUUAAUGCUGCUCACAAGUGCACAUGAACGUGUGUCCCCAUACCCAUCUUACCCGUAAAAGAAGCCAAGGAUGAAAUUUUCAGUGCAGUUUCUCUUUAUUGCAGCUCAGUUCCUAGGAACAAAAGUCCAUUCCAAGAGGCCAUUGUCUUUGUGGUAGGAGGAGGCAACUAUAUUGAAUAUCAGAAUCUUGUUGACUACAUAAAGGUACAGUUGAGCCUUCUCAUUUCUGUCUCUUGGUGGUGUGAGUCAUGUCAUUAGAGAAUUAGCAUUGGCCAGUGCCUAUCCUGACCUCUGCAUAACUACUUUCUAAGAGGUGGUUUUUUUAAGUUAUACUUGUGAGCAAAACACACUAAAUCAUACAUGCCUAGAGUCCCAGCUACUUGGGAGGCCAAGGCAAGAGGAUCUUGAGCCCAGGAAUUCAGGGCCAGUCGAGGCCACUUGGCUAGAUUUCAUCUCUUAUAAAAAUAAUAUAAAUACAAAUACUGUAUAUAGAGAAAAUUACCAAUUUAUCAGUUUUUCUGUCAUAGUCAUGAUUCUACUAAAAUUGUACUGGAUUAAAAAUAAUAUUUCAUAAAUUAUUUGGGCAAUCUCUUGAUGCACUUUAAAUACUUAGAGACCUCAAGCUCUUCCAAGAUUUUUCUCCCUUAAGAUGAUUUAUAGAACUCAUUUAUCUAAAUAACACAUGCUUUAUUCAAUUAUAUUAACUUACAUCAGCAACAUACUUCUAAAAAGCAUUUAAGGUAGCAAAUUAGAAAUAGAAUCCUACUGUAAACCUUAGAGUGGUAGAAAACUAAAAAUACAUGAGGCACUAAGCCUAAUUUGAAGAUCAAAAUAAAAUAAAAUCUAUAGGGUGGAAAAUUGGCUAUUGUUAUAUAAUAGAGUGACAUUUUCUAACUAUUCAGUUGUUAGGUAUGAUUGUCAGUCUUUAUGCCCUCCUUACAUAGGCAUUAAUAUAAACUAUAGUGGAACAGGGGGACACAUUACUCCCAGGACUCUCACUUGAUUGCUUGCCCUCAGUCAUGCACCCUAAUGUACUCUUAAGAAUCUGUGCCAGGCAUACACAGCAGAGGACUGCCGGGUCUGGGUUCAGUCAGAGAAGAUGCACCUAACCCGCAAGAGACUGGAGGCCCCAGGGAGUUGGGAGGUCUGAUGGGUGGGAGGUGGGAGGGUGGGAACAGGGGGAUGGGGAGGAGGUAUGGGAUGGAGAAGAGUCAGAGGGUGGACCAGGAGGAGGAUAAAAUGAGGGAGGAAGGGAGGGAGGGAGGGAGAGAGAGAGAGAGAGAGAGAGAAUGAGAGAGAGAGAGAGAAA
RNA transcript from Mus musculus (house mouse), 3170 nucleotides. It is a transcript of the gene named Sec1 family domain containing 1, with no coding region annotated. The transcript is spliced from 23 exons. NCBI's taxonomy places the organism in Eukaryota, Metazoa, Chordata, Mammalia, Rodentia, Muridae. The record is from RefSeq and is marked validated.